This 199-nucleotide long non-coding RNA is filed under the name Lathyrus oleraceus (garden pea). Its description in RNAcentral is "Pisum sativum (pea) long non-coding RNA (PSAT_LNC010787)". Lineage: Eukaryota; Viridiplantae; Streptophyta; Magnoliopsida; Fabales; Fabaceae. The record is from RNAcentral.
UGUGGAUAUUCAAAAAAUUGGGAAACAAGUGGUUCUUGGUUCAGAGUCUAUGUUACCAUCAUGUUUACUGUGUUGGUUUGUUUUUCUUUUGUUUUUCGCUCGGUUUCUCUUUUUUUCUUUCUAUUUUUCAACCCAGUGCCAUUCUUUGGCCCGUGCUUAUUUUGAACCUUCGAGUUUAUUUAUAUAUUUUUUUUCUUUU